RNAcentral lists this ribosomal RNA (198 nucleotides) under uncultured bacterium. Its description in RNAcentral is "partial 16S ribosomal RNA". It matches the Rfam family "Bacterial small subunit ribosomal RNA", at positions 328 to 539 of the family's 1533-position model. The record is from RNAcentral.
ACGCUCGACACCUACGGGGGGCAGCAGUGGGGAAUAUUGCACAAUGGGGGAAACCCUGAUGCAGCGACGCCGCGUGAGCGAAGAAGUAUUUCGGUAUGUAAAGCUCUAUCAGCAGGGAAGAAACUGACGGUACCUGACUAAGAAGCACCGGCUAAAUACGUGCCAGCAGCCGCAGUAAUCUGAGCGGGCUGGCAAGGC